RNAcentral lists this ribosomal RNA (253 nucleotides) under uncultured bacterium. Its description in RNAcentral is "partial 16S ribosomal RNA". It matches the Rfam family "Bacterial small subunit ribosomal RNA", at positions 524 to 776 of the family's 1533-position model. The record is from RNAcentral.
UACAGAGGUCUCAACCGUUGUUCGGAUUCAUUGGGCGUAAAGGGUGCGUAGGCGGCGGGGUAAGUCAGGUGUGAAAUCUCGGGGCUCAACCCCGAAACUGCACUUGAUACUGCCUCGCUUGAGUACUGGAGAGGAGACUGGAAUUUACGGUGUAGCAGUGAAAUGCGUAGAGAUCAGGAAGAACAUCGGUGGCGAAGGCGCUCUGCUGGACCAUAACUGACACUCAGGGACGAAAGCUAGGGGAGCGAAUGGG